Molecule: long non-coding RNA, 767 nt
Filed under: Sus scrofa (pig)
Lineage: Eukaryota; Metazoa; Chordata; Mammalia; Artiodactyla; Suidae
Description: lncRNA (ENSSSCG00055019569.1)
Source: RNAcentral
AUGAAAAAAACAUCAGCUUUCAACAGACUGGGUCCAGUUAGGAAAACAGACGGCCCAGGCAAGGAAGAAUACCUUCAGGAGUCUAUGCAGAGACCACAGACAGGAAAUGUUCCUGACAAUCUCUCGUUAUGUGACGCCUUGUCACCUGCUUCACCUCCCCCAACCUGUAUAACUGUUGCAGUUCCAUUCCCUGCAGAAGGAAACAAGAAGGAAGCUACUCCUGGAUUCCUCCUGAUAACUGAUAAGGACUACAGGCAAAACUGCAGCUGGACUAGCAGAGCUAUUUUCCGGAGGCCAGCAAUUGUGUGAUGGUCUGACAGGGGAGGAAAAAAAUGUAACAUUUUGAACUUUCUGCCUUUGUACAAAACCUUUCUCCUCCACUCUCUCUGCUUCCAUCAUCAUAUAGUUCUUUGGCCAAGAUCCUGGUGCCCAGAACAUGAAGCUCCACCUUCCAUCAUUAGUCUCUGGUAGGCUUUUAUUUUAAGCCUUAGCCUUACUGGCUUCUUUUUUCUCAAGGCAUUGUGGCUGUAUGAUUUAGUGGAUGUCAGAGGACAAACAUAUCUGGAAGAGGCCACAGUAUGUAAAUGAUAGCAAAAGUGCUAGCAAAGAGCAUUAAAGCAAUUACCUUGGCAAUGAAAUUACAAGUGUUAAGGCACUUUGAGGUCAGUGGAAAUCUCCAUCAUAUUUCAAAGGCUUUGGGGCUUACGAUUGCUCUCUGGGAGUAUGGUGAUAAUAAAAGCAAAAUAUAUGCCUAAGGACCUUUAAAG